AUGGUUAAUGGUUGGAAGGAGAGAACUCUCUCUUAUGGGGGGAAAGAGGCAUUGCUGAAAGUGGUGGCCCAAUCCAUCCCAACAUAUGCGAUGAGUGUGUUCAAAUUCCCAAAGAAAACCUGCAAGGAGAUCACUGACGCUAUAUCGCAAUAUUGGUGGGGUGAUGAGGAUAACCAACGGAGGAUGCAUUGGUUUGCGUGGUGGAAAAUAUGUAUACCCAAAGAAAGAGGUGGCAUGGGCUUUAGAGAUGUUCAUAGUUUUAAUCUGGCAAUGUUAGCAAAGCAAUGUUGGAGGUUGAUUGAGAACUUUGGUUCCCUUUGUGCGCGUGUGUUGACAGCAAGGUAUUAUCCUAAUGGAGACAUGCUUAACUGUGAGUUGAAGAAGGGAUCUUCGUAUGUGUGGCAUAGUAUUCGGGCUGGCAUCCAAACUUUCAAGAAAGGAUGCAUAUGGAGAGUAGGAGAUGGGGAAAAAAUCAAUAUAUGGAACGACUGCUAG
This 495-nucleotide ribosomal RNA is filed under the name Triticum aestivum (bread wheat). Its description in RNAcentral is "partial small subunit ribosomal RNA". The record is from RNAcentral. Lineage: Eukaryota; Viridiplantae; Streptophyta; Magnoliopsida; Poales; Poaceae.